RNAcentral lists this long non-coding RNA (374 nucleotides) under Rattus norvegicus (Norway rat). RNAcentral describes it as "long non-coding RNA NONRATT026766". The record is from RNAcentral. Lineage: Eukaryota; Metazoa; Chordata; Mammalia; Rodentia; Muridae.
GUUAAAAGAUGAAGAAUGUGAGAGACUUUCGAAAGUGCGAGAUCAACUUGGGCAGGAGUUGGAAGAACUCACAGCUAGUUUAUUUGAGGUUGGUCUGUUUACAUCGUGGCCAAGAACAAUAUCUCAAUUGUAUAUGUUGAUAGAAUCGGAUUGUGAAGGCAUCUUGAGAAGGAUAUGGCUAGCUUCAUGUGUGUGCACAAUACCUCUAAGGUAGACAGAAGAUAAUCUUUAAGGAAAUGUAGUCUCUAACUUAAAAUACACAAAGAGGAAACAGGAACACUGUAGCUGUCCGUGUUGGCCGUGAACAAUGUUUGUGUGCAAGGAAGGGCCAGUAACUUUAGUUUCCAAGUUUACCAGUUAUUUAGGGCCAUUUG